RNAcentral lists this long non-coding RNA (2268 nucleotides) under Mus pahari (shrew mouse). Its description in RNAcentral is "lncRNA (MGP_PahariEiJ_G0005130.1)". Lineage: Eukaryota; Metazoa; Chordata; Mammalia; Rodentia; Muridae. The record is from RNAcentral.
UCUUUCCUUUCUUUUCUUGAGACAAGGACUUAUGUAUCACAGGCUGGCCUCAAACUCUAUCUCAGUGGAAGAGAAUAUGACCCUAUGCUCAGUCUCAUUAGUUCCUAAUGGGAUGUGACAAAGCAUUUGCAAUGUGUGGUCAGAGUUCCUUCCUGCUAGCCAAUUAUGGCGAUGACCUACAUUCUCUCACUGACAGAGCAGCACACUCACCUUGAAAGCUGGUGCCUGUCUAGAAAGACCACAGUCAGAGCAUACAGCACCCAGCUGUGAGCGCUAAAGAAUUCCUGAAUGACCAGGCAAGUCUACAGACACGGUGUAAGUAGUAAAUGCUAACAGUUACCACACAGCUGCUUGUGUAAACUAUAGAAGAGAGAGACCGGAGUUCGGCAGACCAGCCAAAAAGCCCUGGAUGCCUCCUGAUGACCUACAUCUGCCCUCUGCCUGGAGCCAAUAAUGCAAGCACUUGGUAGACAGUAUUUUCAUCACGAAGCAUGUAGAGAAAAAAGAUUUCACAACUUCCUAGAGCACAUCCAAGCUCCCACUGUGUCCUCUGGCGCCGUGGAUAAAUCCCUCUUAUUCAUCUGACUUCAGCCUAUGCUCCUCAGAGGUGGGUAUAACUCUCCUUCCCUGCCCUUCCUGUUGUAACUGACUGUGAAGUCACAGCUGGUAUGGUGUUUCCAAAGUCACAGCCUGGCAAAAUGGCUGGGAGAGCAGACCCUUGCUGCCAAGCUAGAUGACCUGAGUUUGUUCCCUGGGAAACAUGUGAUGAAAGAAAAUAUAAAACUGACGACUAACCACAUGCACACUGUGGUACACACGUGUGCACACAUUCGCAGAAUAAGUAAAUAAUGUAACUAAAAAUUUAAAUGUAAUGACCAGAGGUGUUUCCUCAUGCCUACAAUUCCAGCACCCAGGAGACUGAGGCAGUAGGAUUGUUAAGAGGUUAAAUUUAGCCUGGGCUAACAUUCAGAUUGAGUUUAAGGCACGUCUUGGCAACUUUUUCAGACACUGAAAAAAUACUGUGAAAAUCAUGAAGAUAAAUUUGCAAUGAGAUAAAGAGGGCUAACGCUGGUAACUUAACUUUAUGAAAAUACUGUUUGCAUAUGUAUCAUCCUUAGAUGUGCACAGAUAGACAGACUCUAACAUCUGUAAGUACUUAGGCAGAGCACAAACGAACGAACAAACAAACAAAAACAACCACAGAAAUUUACUUAGCAUUUUAAAAUUUUAGCUAGACUUUUAACUGAAUUGAAAUUUUAAGAAGUUACACAUUUUUAUUGGACACCCUGGGGUAGGUGUACAUUGUGUGUUAAUUGAAUAAGUAAAUGCAUUUGUGCCCUUGAAUGCUUGUCAUUUCUUGGGAAACAUUCAAAGUCUCUCUUGUAGGCUUUGAGAGUAUGGUACAUUAUGUUUCUAUGUGGUUGCCCUGACGUGCAAUACCAGAGUGUUUUACUCCUAUCUAACUCAGUCCCCACUGAUCAUCCUUUUCCUUCUCCCUCGUGUCCCCAGUCUCUGGUCACCAGCAUCCCACUCCCGAUUUCUGUGGCAUCCACUGACUUUCUGAUGUUCUCUGUGAGUGAGCCACACAGUCCCAUCUCUGCCCAACAGAUUAAUUCAGCUUAACUGCUUCCAGUUUCAUACAUGCUGCAAAUCAUGGGGUUUUAUUCUUCUUUUUAUGGCCAAACAGAAGGUCCAUUGUGAACGCUUCCCACAUUUUCUUUAAGUAUUCCUCCACUGAUAGACAUGAAGUUGUUUUGUUUCUUGGCUAUCGUAGGCUUCGAAUUUUUUUAUGCUCCCUGGAGCUGACAGAACACUGCACUCCUGGACGUGCUAUAAUCAUAAGUGUGAACACUGUGGUCAGGGAAAGGUCCAGACUUAGGUUUAUUCCCCUAAAGUUACAACUUCAGAGAAGCAUUCAGAGUAAUAUUCGGACAAAUAUCUGGUACCAAGGUCUAUCCACAUUAGUGCAGAAAACUAGUCACCACACACUAUAAAGCAUUACACUGUGAAAAUGAGAUUUUAUGAAUUUGUGGUCAAUUUUAUGUUGCAGGGAUUGUCAUACUUUUUGAUGUUUUGUGAUGUAUUUUGUGACCGUGAGACUGUUUUUGCCUUCUUCCCCUUCAUGAAGAAUCCUUGGGGACUAUUUGCUGCAGAGCUGAAGUAAACAUAAGAGAAGAGUGUUAGGAAAAUCCACAGGAAAUAUAGUGAGAUCACUUCUGGAUUUUUAAAAUAGAUGAUCUGGGAUAUUGUAAAUAAAAGUUUGAACAU